Molecule: ribosomal RNA, 433 nt
Filed under: uncultured bacterium
Lineage: Bacteria
Description: partial 16S ribosomal RNA
Rfam family: Bacterial small subunit ribosomal RNA
Source: RNAcentral
AACGAACGCUGGCGGCAGGCCUAACACAUUCAAGUCGAGCGCGCCCUUCGGGGUGAGCGGCGGACGGGUGAGUAACGCGUGGGAACGUGCCCUUCUCUGCGGAAUAGCCUCGGGAAACUGAGAGUAAUACCGCAUACGCCCUUUGGGGGAAAGAUUUAUCGGAGAAGGAUCGGCCCGCGUUGGAUUAGGUAGUUGGUGGGGUAAUGGCCCACCAAGCCGACGAUCCAUAGCUGGUUUGAGAGGAUGAUCAGCCACACUGGGACUGAGACACGGCCCAGACUCCUACGGGAGGCAGCAGUGGGGAAUCUUAGACAAUGGGGGCAACCCUGAUCUAGCCAUGCCGCGUGAGUGAUGAAGGCCUUAGGGUUGUAAAGCUCUUUCAGCUGGGAAGAUAAUGACGGUACCAGCAGAAGAAGCCCCGGCUAACUCCGUG